GGCGUAACAAGGUCUCCGUAGGUGAACCUGCGGAGGGAUCAUUACACAAAUAUGAAGGCGGGCUGGAACCUCUCGGGGUUACAGCCUUGCUGAAUUAUUCACCCUUGUCUUUUGCGUACUUCUUGUUUCCUUGGUGGGUUCGCCCACCACUAGGACAAACAUAAACCUUUUGUAAUUGCAAUCAGCGUCAGUAACAAAUUAAUAAUUACAACUUUCAACAACGGAUCUCUUGGUUCUGGCAUCGAUGAAGAACGCAGCGAAAUGCGAUAAGUAGUGUGAAUUGCAGAAUUCAGUGAAUCAUCGAAUCUUUGAACGCACAUUGCGCCCUUUGGUAUUCCAAAGGGCAUGCCUGUUCGAGCGUCAUUUGUACCCUCAAGCUUUGCUUGGUGUUGGGCGUCUUGUCUCUAGCUUUGCUGGAGACUCGCCUUAAAGUAAUUGGCAGCCGGCCUACUGGUUUCGGAGCGCAGCACAAGUCGCACUCUCUAUCAGCAAAGGUCUAGCAUCCAUUAAGCCUUUUUUCAACUUUGACCUCGAUCAGUACGACCCCCGCCAA
This 553-nucleotide ribosomal RNA is filed under the name Alternaria sp. YXM9. Its description in RNAcentral is "eukaryotic LSU rRNA". The stretch from base 210 to 363 matches the Rfam family "5.8S ribosomal RNA". The record is from RNAcentral. Lineage: Eukaryota; Fungi; Ascomycota; Dothideomycetes; Pleosporales; Pleosporaceae.